Molecule: non-coding RNA, 369 nt
Organism: Pelobacter propionicus DSM 2379
Lineage: Bacteria; Pseudomonadati; Thermodesulfobacteriota; Desulfuromonadia; Desulfuromonadales; Desulfuromonadaceae
Source: Rfam
UGAAGCAGGACAGACGGCCGCCGCCGAGGUAUCGGGGGAGGAAAGUCCGGGCUCCACAGGGCGCGAUGCUGGAUAACGUCCAGCGGGGGUGACCCCAGGGAAAGUGCCACAGAGAGAAGUCCGCCUGCCACGCGCAGGUAAGGGUGAAAGGGUGAGGUAAGAGCUCACCGGGUCCAUCGGUGACGGUGGAUGCCAGGUAAACCCCAUCGGGAGCAAGACCUAAUAGGGGGGCGUCAAGGGUGGCCCGCCCGUGCCUCCGGGUUGGUUGCUUGAGGCUGCCGGUAACGGCAGACCCAGAUGAAUGGCCGUCGCCCGGGAAGGGGUAACCCGACCCGGGAACAGAACCCGGCUUACGGACUGCUUCAGCCA